RNAcentral lists this ribosomal RNA (497 nucleotides) under uncultured bacterium. RNAcentral's name for it is "partial 16S ribosomal RNA". It matches the Rfam family "Bacterial small subunit ribosomal RNA", at positions 28 to 507 of the family's 1533-position model. The record is from RNAcentral.
GAUGAACGCUGGCGGCGUGCCUAAUACAUGCAAGUCGAGCGAACAGACGAGGAGCUUGCUCCUCUGACGUUAGCGGCGGACGGGUGAGUAACACGUGGAUAACCUACCUAUAAGACUGGGAUAACUUCGGGAAACCGGAGCUACUACCGGAUAAUAUAUUGAACCGCAUGGUUCAAUAGUGAAAGACGGUUUUGCUGUCACUUAUAGAUGGAUCCGCGCCGCAUUAGCUAGUUGGUAAGGUAGCGGCUUACCAAGGCAACGAUGCGUAGCCGACCUGAGAGGGUGAUCGGCCACACUGGAACUGAGACACGGUCCAGACUCCUACGGGAGGCAGCAGUAGGGAAUCUUCCGCAAUGGGCGAAAGCCUGACGGAGCAACGCCGCGUGAGUGAUGAAGGUCUUCGGAUCGUAAAACUCUGUUAUUAGGGAAGAACAAAUGUGUAAGUAACUAUGCACGUCUUGACGGUACCUAAUCAGAAAGCCACGGCUAACUACGUG